This 292-nucleotide unclassified non-coding RNA is filed under the name Hevea brasiliensis (rubber tree). Lineage: Eukaryota; Viridiplantae; Streptophyta; Magnoliopsida; Malpighiales; Euphorbiaceae. The record is from RNAcentral.
CCGCGCUGGUCGGUCCGUCCGGCGGCGGAAAGUCCACCGUGCUGGCCUUGCUGCUACGGCUGUACGAAGCAAAAUUCGGUGCCAUCGUCAUCGACGGGCAGAUCAUCUCCGACCUCUCGCGGCGCUCGCUGCGCCAGCAGACUGCCUAUGUGGGUCAGGAUGUUUACCUGUUCCGCGACACUAUCCGCGAGAACAUCGCGUUCGGCAAAGCCGGGGCGUCGGACGAAGAAAUCGUCAACGCUGCGAAGGCCGCCUGCGCCCACGAUUUCAUCAUGAGCUUCCCGCUCGGCUA